This 740-nucleotide ribosomal RNA is filed under the name uncultured delta proteobacterium. Its description in RNAcentral is "bacterial SSU rRNA". It matches the Rfam family "Bacterial small subunit ribosomal RNA", at positions 34 to 749 of the family's 1533-position model. The record is from RNAcentral. Lineage: Bacteria; Deltaproteobacteria.
CGCUGGCGGCGUCUUACACAUGCAAGUCGUACGAGAAACCGGAACUUCGGUUCCGGGAGUAAAGUGGCGCACGGGUGAGUAACGCGUAGGUAAUCUACCCUUGGGUUUGGAAUAACCCGCCGAAAGGCGUGCUAAUACCGGAUAAAAUCUUUCGGAGGGAUCUGAAAGAUCAAAGGUGGCCUCUCCAUGGAUGCUACUGCCUGAGGAUGAGCCUGCGUCCCAUUAGCUUGUUGGUAGGGUAAUGGCCUACCAAGGCUACGAUGGGUAGCUGGUCUGAGAGGAUGAUCAGUCACACUGGAACUGGAACACGGUCCAGACUCCUACGGGAGGCAGCAGUGAGGAAUAUUGCGCAAUGGGGGAAACCCUGACGCAGCGACGCCGCGUGGGCGAAGAAGGCCUUCGGGUCGUAAAGCCCUGUCUAGAGGGAAGAAAUUCUCAAUGGAAUAAUACCCAUUGAGAUUGACGGUACCUCUGGAGGAAGCACCGGCUAACUCCGUGCCAGCAGCCGCGGUAAUACGGAGGGUGCUAGCGUUGUUCGGAAUUACUGGGCGUAAAGCGGGUGUAGGCGGUUUGUUGAGUCAGAUGUGAAAGCCCACGGCUCAACCGUGGAAGUGCAUCUGAAACUGGCAGACUUGAGUACCGGAGAGGGAAGUGGAAUUCCUGGUGUAGGGGUGAAAUCCGUANAUAUCAGGAGGAACACCGGUGGCGAAGGCGACUUCCUGGACGGAUACUGACGCUGA